Molecule: ribosomal RNA, 660 nt
Filed under: Streptomyces sp.
Lineage: Bacteria; Bacillati; Actinomycetota; Actinomycetes; Kitasatosporales; Streptomycetaceae
Description: bacterial SSU rRNA
Rfam family: Bacterial small subunit ribosomal RNA
Source: RNAcentral
UGAUUAGUGGCGAACGGGUGAGUAACACGUGGGCAAUCUGCCCUUCACUCUGGGACAAGCCCUGGAAACGGGGUCUAAUACCGGAUAACACUCUGUCCCGCAUGGGACGGGGUUAAAAGCUCCGGCGGUGAAGGAUGAGCCCGCGGCCUAUCAGCUUGUUGGUGGGGUAAUGGCCUACCAAGGCGACGACGGGUAGCCGGCCUGAGAGGGCGACCGGCCACACUGGGACUGAGACACGGCCCAGACUCCUACGGGAGGCAGCAGUGGGGAAUAUUGCACAAUGGGCGAAAGCCUGAUGCAGCGACGCCGCGUGAGGGAUGACGGCCUUCGGGUUGUAAACCUCUUUCAGCAGGGAAGAAGCGAAAGUGACGGUACCUGCAGAAGAAGCGCCGGCUAACUACGUGCCAGCAGCCGCGGUAAUACGUAGGGCGCAAGCGUUGUCCGGAAUUAUUGGGCGUAAAGAGCUCGUAGGCGGCUUGUCACGUCGGAUGUGAAAGCCCGGGGCUUAACCCCGGGUCUGCAUUCGAUACGGGCUAGCUAGAGUGUGGUAGGGGAGAUCGGAAUUCCUGGUGUAGCGGUGAAAUGCGCAGAUAUCAGGAGGAACACCGGUGGCGAAGCGGAUCUCUGGGCCAUUACUGACGCUGAGGAGCGAAAGCGUGG